Molecule: ribosomal RNA, 253 nt
Filed under: uncultured bacterium
Lineage: Bacteria
Description: partial 16S ribosomal RNA
Rfam family: Bacterial small subunit ribosomal RNA
Source: RNAcentral
UACGAAGGGGGCUAGCGUUGUUCGGAAUUACUGGGCGUAAAGCGCACGUAGGCGGACUAUUAAGUCAGGGGUGAAAUCCCGGGGCUCAACCCCGGAACUGCCUUUGAUACUGGUAGUCUCGAGUCCGGAAGAGGUGAGUGGAAUUGCGAGUGUAGAGGUGAAAUUCGUAGAUAUUCGCAAGAACACCAGUGGCGAAGGCGGCUCACUGGCCCGGAACUGACGCUGAGACGCGAAAGCGUGGGGAGCAAACAGG